Molecule: ribosomal RNA, 301 nt
Filed under: uncultured bacterium
Lineage: Bacteria
Description: partial 16S ribosomal RNA
Rfam family: Bacterial small subunit ribosomal RNA
Source: RNAcentral
CAGUCGCCGCGGUAAUACGGAGGGUGCAAGCGAUAUCCGGAUUUAUUGGGUUUAAAGGGUCCGUAGGCGGAUCUGUAAGUCAGUGGUGAAAUCUCACAGCUUAACUGUGAAACUGCCAUUGAUACUGCAGGUCUUGAGUAAAUUUGAAGUGGCUGGAAUAAGUAGUGUAGCGGUGAAAUGCAUAGAUAUUACUUAGAACACCAAUUGCGAAGGCAGGUCACUAAGAUUUAACUGACGCUGAUGGACGAAAGCGUGGGGAGCGAACAGGAUUAGAUACCCCCGUAGUCCCUGUCUCUUAUAC